This 497-nucleotide ribosomal RNA is filed under the name uncultured bacterium. Its description in RNAcentral is "partial 16S ribosomal RNA". It matches the Rfam family "Bacterial small subunit ribosomal RNA", at positions 28 to 507 of the family's 1533-position model. The record is from RNAcentral.
GAUGAACGCUGGCGGCGUGCCUAAUACAUGCAAGUCGAGCGAACAGACGAGGAGCUUGCUCCUCUGACGUUAGCGGCGGACGGGUGAGUAACACGUGGAUAACCUACCUAUAAGACUGGGAUAACUUCGGGAAACCGGAGCUACUACCGGAUAAUAUAUUGAACCGCAUGGUUCAAUAGUGAAAGACGGUUUUGCUGUUACUUAUAGAUGGAUCCGCGCCGCAUUAGCUAGUUGGUAAGGUAACGGCUUACCAAGGCAACGAUGCGUAGCCGACCUGAGAGGGUGAUCGGCCACACUGGAACUGAGACACGGUCCAGACUCCUACGGGAGGCAGCAGUAGGGAAUCUUCCGCAAUGGGCGAAAGCUUGACGGAGCAACGCCGCGUGAGUGAUGAAGGUCUUCGGAUCGUAAAACUCUGUUAUUAGGGAAGAACAAAUGUGUAAGUAACUAUGCACGUCUUGACGGUACCUAAUCAGAAAGCCACGGCUAACUACGUG